UGGGGAAUAUUGGACAAUGGGGGGAACCCUGAUCCCGCCAUGCCGCGUGUGUGAAGAAGGCCUUAUGGUUGUAAAGCACUUUAAGCGAGGAGGAGGGUACUGGUAUUAAUACUACCAGCUACUGGACGUUACUCGCAGAAUAAGCACCGGCUAACUCUGUGCCAGCAGCCGCGGUAAUACAGAGGGUGCGAGCGUUAAUCGGAUUUACUGGGCGUAAAGCGUGCGUAGGCGGCUAAUUGAGUCGGAUGUGAAAUCCCCGAGCUUAACUUGGGAAUUGCAUUCGAUACUGGUUAGCUAGAGUGUGGGAGAGGAUGGUAGAAUUCCAGGUGUAGCGGUGAAAUGCGUAGAGAUCUGGAGGAAUACCGAUGGCGAAGGCAGCCAUCUGGCCUAACACUGACGCUGAGGUACGAAAGCAUGGGGAGCAAACAGG
Molecule: ribosomal RNA, 430 nt
Filed under: Pseudomonadota bacterium
Lineage: Bacteria; Pseudomonadati; Pseudomonadota
Description: Proteobacteria bacterium partial 16S ribosomal RNA
Rfam family: Bacterial small subunit ribosomal RNA
Source: RNAcentral